AUAUUGUCAAUGGGAUGUCAGUGAUCUGUACGUUUUUACUGCUGGUCUCAUUCUGUCCCGCGUCUCCUCAACGGCACUUGACAGCCUCAACAAUGUCUCGUGUAUUUGGCAACUCAUUCCUCAGAGUUACUGCAGGUUAUAUUUGACCUCUGCUGACGGCUGCAUCAUAUCCUCAGAUAACAGCUGCCUCUUCACUCAGACUCACACCAGCCAGAAUUAGAAAUGAGAGAACAGAGCAGGAGAGCCAUCUGGAGAGAGGAGGGGCUACAACAGUUUGCAUUCUGCAGUGUCCACCACUCUGACCUGUCUGUUAGCCUGUGGCAGGAGGUGAACUGUCCUAACUGUCUCUGUCCUAACUCAGAGUCCUGAACAUGAACAAAAACUGUCCUCAGGAUUUACAGGUUGAGACACAGUAUUUCAUCUGUGAAUGGGAGUUGUUUUUACAGCACAGCUGAUGUCUGAGCAGUUCAGUCCCGUAACUCGCUUGCUGGCAUCACCGGCCCGAUAAAGACAAACCAGUGAGGUGAGUCUCCUCUACUGAAGGUGGAAACUGACACCGGACACAUGCUGGGUGACUUUUCUAGUCCAGGGUAGGCAUCAUGUUUGUUAGUUGUGUCAAGAGCACACCAGUGCCAUUUAGUGCAGUACCCCAUGUACUUCUAUCAAUGGGUUUUGUUUUGUUUUAUUUUAUUCCAUUUAUUUGGUGAUUAAAAUUUGAAACUGUUGGGGCUCAACCAGCAAACAGCUAGAAUAGUCAACAAUGCUACUGUCAAAUUCCAACAAGCUAAAGUGAAUAAAUAAAU
Long non-coding RNA from Toxotes jaculatrix (banded archerfish), 803 nucleotides. RefSeq lists it as uncharacterized. NCBI's taxonomy places the organism in Eukaryota, Metazoa, Chordata, Actinopteri, Toxotidae. The transcript is spliced from 4 exons. The record is from RefSeq and is a predicted model, not a curated record.